This 497-nucleotide ribosomal RNA is filed under the name uncultured bacterium. RNAcentral's name for it is "partial 16S ribosomal RNA". It matches the Rfam family "Bacterial small subunit ribosomal RNA", at positions 28 to 507 of the family's 1533-position model. The record is from RNAcentral.
GAUGAACGCUGGCGGCGUGCCUAAUACAUGCAAGUCGAGCGAACAGACGAGGAGCUUGCUCCUCUUACGUUAGCUGCGGACGGGUGAGUAACACGUGGAUAACCUACCUUUAAGACUGGGAUAACUUCUGGAAACCGUAGCUAAUACCGGAUAACAUGUUGAACCGCAUGGUUCAACAUUGAAAGACGGUCUUGCUGUCACUUAUAGAUGCAUUGCGGCCGCAUUAGGUAUUUGGUAAGGUAACGGCUUACCAAGGCAACGAUGCGUAGCCGACUUGAGAGGGUGAUCGGCAAAACUGGAACUGAGAAACGGUCAAAACUCCUAAGGAAGGAGGAAGAAGGGAAUCUUCCGAAAUGGGCGAAAGCCUGACGGAGAAAGGCCGCGUGAGUGAAGAAGGUCUUCGGAUCGAAAAACUCUGUUAAAAGGGAAGAACAAAUGUGUAAGUAAAAAUGCACGUCUUGACGGUAGCUAAUCAGAAAGCCACGGCUAACUACGUG